RNAcentral lists this long non-coding RNA (428 nucleotides) under Nicotiana tabacum (common tobacco). Its description in RNAcentral is "long non-coding RNA (NTAB_LNC000114)". Lineage: Eukaryota; Viridiplantae; Streptophyta; Magnoliopsida; Solanales; Solanaceae. The record is from RNAcentral.
ACAUAGAAGUCCACCACCUCCUACCCACAAAAUUUCACCUGUAACUCGUCACGCUCCACCUCCUCCACCUCCACCAAGUCCGGUAUAUUAUCACCACCCAUCACCACCACCUCCACAACCAGUAUAUUACGCGCCACCAACAUAUAAACCUCAAUCACCACCACCACCUCCACCACCAGUACAUUACGAGCCACCAACGUACACACCUCAAUCACCACCACCACCUCCACCAGUACAUUACGAGCCACCACCAUACACACCUCAAUCACCACCACCUCCACCAGUACAUUACGAACCACCAACGUACACACCUCAAUCGCCACCACCACCAGUAUAUGUGACACCGUCUUCACCACCACCACCAGUAUAUGAGCAUCCAAAACCUCCAACUCCAACUCCAUCACCACCAGCUGGGUACACACCUCCCC